GUGGAUUAGAUACCCUGGUAGUCCACGCCCUAAACGAUGCGAACUGGAUGUUGGUCUCAAUUCGGAGAUCAGUGUCGAAGCUAACGCGUUAAGUUCGCCGCCUGGGGAGUACGGUCGCAAGACUGAAACUCAAAGGAAUUGACGGGGGCCCGCACAAGCGGUGGAGUAUGUGGUUUAAUUCGAUGCAACGCGAAGAACCUUACCUGGCCUUGACAUGUCUGGAAUCCUGUAGAGAUACGGGAGUGCCUUCGGGAAUCAGAACACAGGUGCUGCACGGCCGUCGACAGCU
Molecule: ribosomal RNA, 289 nt
Filed under: uncultured bacterium
Lineage: Bacteria
Description: partial 16S ribosomal RNA
Rfam family: Bacterial small subunit ribosomal RNA
Source: RNAcentral